UCAACCGCUGAUCCAGAAAAGGAGCCAGUCCUGGUCACUGCAAACACAAUUUUGUCAAUCCUUGCAGCUGACUACCCUGUUGAGAAGCUUGCAUGUUAUGUGUCCGAUGAUGGAGGCGCACUGCUCACCUUCGAGGCAAUGGCUGAGGCAGCAAGCUUUGCUAAUCUCUGGGUGCCAUUCUGCAGGAAGCAUGACAUUGAACCCAGGAACCCAGACAGCUACUUCAACCUGAAGAGAGAUCCUUUCAAGAACAAAGUGAAGGCAGACUUUGUCAAGGACAGGAGAAGGAUCAAGCGUGAGUAUGACGAGUUCAAGAUCCGCGUUAACGGCUUGCCAGAUGCCAUCCGCCGCCGCUCUGAUGCAUACCAUGCCCGUGAGGAAAUCCAGGCAAUGAACCUUCAGAGGGAAAAGAUAAAGGCUGGAAGCGAUGAGCAAUUUGAGCCAGUGAAGAUUCCAAAGGCAACAUGGAUGGCUGACAGUACUCACUGGCCCGGUACAUGGCUCCAUUCAUCACAAGAUCAUGCAAGAGGAGAUCAUGCAGGAAUCAUACAGGUACUGCACUACUGCUUAAUGAUAGUAUAAACGAGAUUUCAGUGUAGACCUAUAUUUACAUGAUUUUUAUUCUAUAUCACAGGUUAUGCUUAAACCACCUAGUGACAUGCCAAUGUAUGGGAACAUUGAAAAGUCACCCCUUGACUUUUCAGUAGUGGAUACACGACUUCCAAUGCUGGUGUACAUGUCACGAGAGAAGCGCCCGGGAUAUGAUCACAACAAAAAAGCAGGUGCCAUGAACGCACUGGUUCGUGCAUCAGCCAUCAUGUCCAAUGGUCCCUUCAUUCUUAAUCUGGACUGUGAUCACUACGUCUACAACUCAAAGGCCUUCAGGGAGGGCAUGUGCUUCAUGAUGGACCGUGGUGGUGACCGCCUCUGCUAUGUGCAGUUCCCUCAGCGGUUUGAAGGCAUUGACCCCUCUGAUCGAUAUGCUAACCAUAAUACUGUUUUCUUCGAUAUCAACAUGCGAGCUCUUGAUGGUCUGCAAGGACCAGUGUAUGUUGGUACAGGAUGCCUCUUCCGCAGAAUUGCCCUUUAUGGCUUUGACCCACCCCGUUCCAAGGAUCACAGCCCAGGCUUCUGCGGUUGCUGCCUCCCACGCCGCCGAAAGGCAUCUGCUUCCGAUGCUAACCCUGAGGAGACAAUGGCUCUCCGCAUGGGUGAUUUUGAUGGGGACAGCAUGAACCUUGCCACAUUCCCGAAGAAAUUUGGAAAUUCAAGCUUUCUGAUUGACUCCAUCCCAGUAGCAGAGUUCCAGGGAAGGCCCUUGGCUGACCAUCCAUCUAUCAAGAAUGGGCGUCCACCUGGUGCUCUAACAAUUCCACGUGAAAUGCUGGAUGCAUCCAUUGUGGCAGAAGCAAUCAGUGUGGUCUCGUGUUGGUAUGAGGAGAAGACAGAGUGGGGGACUCGUGUGGGGUGGAUCUAUGGCUCUGUCACUGAGGAUGUUGUGACAGGGUACCGUAUGCAUAAUCGUGGAUGGAAGUCGGUGUACUGUGUCACACAACGUGAUGCCUUCCGUGGCACUGCUCCUAUCAAUCUCACAGAUCGUCUACACCAGGUGCUUCGAUGGGCUACUGGUUCUGUCGAGAUUUUUUUCUCCCGGAACAAUGCAUUGUUUGCUAGCUCCAAAAUGAAGGUAGAUGCCCCUCAAGAAUUUCUAUUUCUUACUAGUGUAGACUCAUUAAAAUUAUGACUAACUUUUGAUGCUUUAACAGGUACUACAAAGGAUUGCAUACCUUAACGUUGGUAUAUAUCCCUUCACAUCCAUCUUCCUCAUUGUCUACUGCUUCCUUCCAGCACUCUCCCU
This 1858-nucleotide long non-coding RNA is filed under the name Brachypodium distachyon (stiff brome). Its description in RNAcentral is "long non-coding RNA (BDIS_LNC003639)". Lineage: Eukaryota; Viridiplantae; Streptophyta; Magnoliopsida; Poales; Poaceae. The record is from RNAcentral.